RNAcentral lists this ribosomal RNA (497 nucleotides) under uncultured bacterium. RNAcentral describes it as "partial 16S ribosomal RNA". It matches the Rfam family "Bacterial small subunit ribosomal RNA", at positions 28 to 507 of the family's 1533-position model. The record is from RNAcentral.
GACGAACGCUGGCGGCGUGCCUAAUACAUGCAAGUUGAGCGCUGAAGGUUGGUACUUGUACCGACUGGAUGAGCAGCGAACGGGUGAGUAACGCGUGGGGAAUCUGCCUUUGAGCGGGGGACAACAUUUGGAAACGAAUGCUAAUACCGCAUAAAAACUUUAAACACAAGUUUUAAGUUUGAAAGAUGCAAUUGCAUCACUCAAAGAUGAUCCCGCGUUGUAUUAGCUAGUUGGUGAGGUAAAGGCUCACCAAGGCGAUGAUACAUAGCCGACCUGAGAGGGUGGUCGGCCACAAUGGGACUGGGACACGGCCCAAACUCCUACGGGAGGCAGCAGUAGGGAAUCUUCGGCAAUGGACGAAAGUCUGACCGAGCAACGCCGCGUGAGUGAAGAAGGGUUUCGGAUCGUAAAACUCUGUUGGUAGAGAAGAACGUUGGUGAGAGUGGAAAGCUCAUCAAGUGACGGUAACUACCCAGAAAGGGACGGCUAACUACGUG